RNAcentral lists this ribosomal RNA (256 nucleotides) under uncultured bacterium. RNAcentral describes it as "partial 16S ribosomal RNA". It matches the Rfam family "Bacterial small subunit ribosomal RNA", at positions 524 to 776 of the family's 1533-position model. The record is from RNAcentral.
UACGAAGGGGGGCGAGCGUUGUUCGGAAUUACUGGGCGUAAAGGGCGCGUAGGCGGCGACCCAAGUCAGAUGUGAAAGUCCUGGGCUUAACCUGGGGACUGCAUUUGAUACUGGGUUGCUUGAAUUCGGGAGAGGAUAGCGGAAUUCCCCAGUGUAGAGGUGAAAAUUCGUAGAUAUUGGGAAGAACACCGGUGGCGAAGGCGGCUAUCUGGACCGACAUUGACGCUGAGGCGCGAAAGCGUGGGGAGCAAACAGG